GGUUUAGUUUAGUUGAGUUGAGUUAAUUAGAAGGAAAAGUUUUAAUAUGUAUAGCUCAUUUCCCUAUAUCAAAUGCAUUCUCUCUCUCCUUCCUUCCAUCCUUCAUAUCCCUUUCUAUAAAUAUAUAAAUGAAGAUGCAAUUGGAUUCAACUCAUGUCCUUGCAAAAACCUUUCAAUCACUGCUGCUUUCAUAUUCCCUUCUCUACAAUCUUAGUCUUGGUAAAUUAAUUAUCUAAAAAAUCUAAGUUUCUUUUCACUUCACUGGUCUGUUUAUGAUCUCUAUAUAUACAUAGGCAUGCAUGGAUAAAUACAUGCAUUAAUAUUUUCUCAUUCUGCUGAAUUUGAUUUGAUUUGAUUUGAUU
Molecule: unclassified non-coding RNA, 362 nt
Filed under: Hevea brasiliensis (rubber tree)
Lineage: Eukaryota; Viridiplantae; Streptophyta; Magnoliopsida; Malpighiales; Euphorbiaceae
Source: RNAcentral